Long non-coding RNA from Coturnix japonica (Japanese quail), 920 nucleotides. RefSeq lists it as uncharacterized. NCBI's taxonomy places the organism in Eukaryota, Metazoa, Chordata, Aves, Galliformes, Phasianidae. The record is from RefSeq and is a predicted model, not a curated record.
UUUUAUUUUUUUAAAAAUUUAGAUUUUUCCGAUACUCCUCACUUCUUUACUGGAUGGUUUCUCUUCACCUGAGCAGACUUCAGUGCUGAAAUAUUUGCUUUGUUGGAGAUAUUCUUCAGAAUAUCAGAACUUCAGAACUCUCAGUGCAUAAAGACUUUGUUCUGCUGCUUGUGAAAUGACUUCUGAAUGAUACAUGCUAUUCUUCACCUCAGAUUGUGUGGACCUUUCACAGUUUUUCUUCCAGUACAGCUGAAAGACCGGAAGACUGAGAGAAAAUGACGUCCUUGGGGUGAUUAAAUAUCAAGAUCUCUCUGAAGGAAAUAAUUAUUAAAACCAUCCAUCUUUAUGCUUACCUGAAGGUCUGCUGAGAAAACACUGUGGUAUGUUUGUUUUUUCUUAUUUCUUUUUGAUCAUGUGGCAUUUCUACAGCACUGCUGCAAGAGUUUUUACAUUUGAAUGAUUUCAGGUGAUGUAUUGCCAAGAUUAUGAAACUUCUUAAGAUAUAGAUAGUACUAAUUCUGUAUUAAAACUGGCAGUUCAAUUUUAAGCUCACUAGCAACUGGUUAAAUCACUGGUUACUGUCUUUGCUUUUUCAAAUUAAAGCUUAUUCGAAGCUUGUUGUGAUGCAGAUAAUAUGUAGAGAAGCUUCAGAUACCAUUCUGAUUGAGACCCAUACAUGAAAUAUAGACCAUAUCCUGCUCCAAAGGGUUUCACUGUCAGUAUAUUAGACAGAUGAAGAAGGAAAAGAAAAAGAACGGCGUGGAUUACCCAAAUAUGAAGUCAACAAGUCAGCAAUAAAAGGGAAAAAUAAUUUCAUUUCCUUUGGUUUAGAUUUGUAUUCUGAUGAAUAUGCUGUAUUUAAAUUUAAGCUAGAUUGUUCUAUGGUGAUGGAAUAAGCAGAGGUAAAAGACAAAAACAAC